ACGCUCGACACCUACGGGAGCAGCAGUGGGGAAUAUUGCACAAUGGGGGAAACCCUGAUGCAGCGACGCCGCGUGGAGGAAGAAGGUCUUCGGAUUGUAAACUCCUGUUGUUGGGGAAAAAGAGGAUGGUACCCAACAAGGAAGUGACGGCUAACUACGUGCCAGCACGCCGUACGGUAAUCUGAGGCGGGCGUGGACGAAGGC
This 204-nucleotide ribosomal RNA is filed under the name uncultured bacterium. RNAcentral describes it as "partial 16S ribosomal RNA". It matches the Rfam family "Bacterial small subunit ribosomal RNA", at positions 328 to 545 of the family's 1533-position model. The record is from RNAcentral.